Molecule: long non-coding RNA, 585 nt
Organism: Ictalurus punctatus (channel catfish)
Lineage: Eukaryota; Metazoa; Chordata; Actinopteri; Siluriformes; Ictaluridae
Source: Ensembl
GUGUGUAGAGUUAGUGAUGUGUGUUAGCGGUUAGUGUUGUGUAGAGUUAGUGAUGUGUGUUAGCGGUGUGUAGAGUUAGUGAUGUGUGUUAGUGGUGUGUAGAGUUAGUGAUGUGUGUUAGCGGUGUGUGGUGUGUAGAGUUAGUGAUGUGUGUUAGUGGUGUGUAGAGUUAGUGAUGUGUGUUAGCGGUGUGUAGAGUUAGUGAUGUGUGUUAGCGGUGUGUAGAGUUAGUGAUGUGUGUUAGUGGUGUGUAGAGUUAGUGAUAUGUGUUAGCGGUUAGCGGUGUGUAGAGUUAGUGAUGUGUGUUAGCGGUGUGUAGAGUUAGUGAUGUGUGUUAGUGGUGUGUAGAGUUAGUGAUGUGUGUUAGUGGUGUGUAGAGUUAGUGAUGUGUGUUAGCGGUGUGUAGAGUUAGUGAUGUGUGUUAGUGGUGUGUAGAGUUAGUGAUGUGUGUUAGCGGUGUGUAGAGUUAGUGAUGUGUGUUAGCGGUGUGUAGAGUUAGUGAUGUGUGUUAGCGGUGUGUAGAGUUAGUGAUGUGUGUUAGCGGUGUGUGGGAUUAGCAAGUAACAACAGCACUGCAGAGUGCUG